This 934-nucleotide long non-coding RNA is filed under the name Jatropha curcas. Its description in RNAcentral is "long non-coding RNA (JCUR_LNC000961)". The record is from RNAcentral. Lineage: Eukaryota; Viridiplantae; Streptophyta; Magnoliopsida; Malpighiales; Euphorbiaceae.
CUGCUUGUGAUUGAAUUAUUAUAGAUGAACAGAAUAGUAAUUGACACAAUUAGUUUAAAUAAGCAGUAUCAUAGUUUCACUUAGAGUUAGCAUAGUUUUGCUGUCGCUCUCUCAAAACUCCACAUGCAUCAUCUUCAAAUCAUCUUCAACUCCAGUACAAAUAACUGGAAAAUAAAAAAAUAAAAAAAUAAAAAAACAAGGCAACCAUACUUUAAAUAAGCAGCAAGAAUGAAGGGGCAGCAUAACACGAACCUGCAAAAUACAUAUAUGUAUAUGUGUGUGUGUAUAUAUAUAUAUAUUCCAGACAUUUUCCAGAGAUGUACAUUCAUUCGUUGUUGUAAUAUUCAACUUUUCAAAAUCCAAUUGAUAUGAAUUGCAUGUGUCCCAUGUCACUUACGCAUUGAACUAACUAAUGGUGUACAGCAGGUCACAUACCUCCAAUGGCUUGCCAUGAACGACUAAUUAUCCAAUUACAUAAGUUGAAGAGCAACUGCACCAUUGGAUGAUCAUUGGCAGUAUAUCCAUCAUUGUAUGCCAAACUCAUUUCAUUUAUUAAACCACCCAAACAGAAAUUCUCACUAAAAGGACUAAAAAUUUUUAAAAGAAUAUUCUUAGUAUUGAACCCAAGGAAUAAACAUAUUAUAAAAUGGGAUGUGUUUAUUCUGAGACUAAAAAUCUAAAGAGAUGAAGAAAAUAAAAAUUCCAAAUCUAAGAUUAAAUAAUGUUAGAUUUUCAGAGCUCUAACAUUUAAGUUAGAAAGAAUAAUAUUUAAAAAAAACAAAAAAAAGGCAACAGCAAGAGCAACAAUAGGCCGAUGUUCAAAAUUACCGUUCACUGUUGUGUUCAUUGAGUCUGUCCAACACUCUGAUAUGUGCUGGUUCUGGCCUAAUAAAAGCAAAACCUUUUUCUACACAGAUCUCAUCUCGAGGUUGGA